GUCACUUUAGCACGGCAGCUUUUUCAUCAUUUUUUUUUAUCCUCCAUAACAGGUUUCUGUGCAUUCGCUCAAAGUGAAUGAUGAGGCAGGAGAAGAGGGGAAGAAGGGAAGAAGGGAAGAUGGGAAGAAGGGAGGUCUCCGGGAGGCAAUGAAACCAAGAUCAGUAUAAGAAAUUACAGACAUUUUACAGAGGUGGCGCCCAAGGCUGCGAGCUGGGUGUCGUCACAAGGUCCACACUGCUUUGUUACUCUGCAGGAGCCUAGCAGAGAGGAAGCAGAAAGGAAGCUGGGAUGUAUUACCCAAGGAGGAUGGAGAGCUUUCGUGACAGUACGUCCUGAUAUUACUGUGCAGGGAUCACUUCAUAAGUGUCACCAUGACAGACCAGGCAGAUAUGGUCACUAAACUGACCAAUGUGUGGUUUAAGGCAUUUAAUGAAAUCUUUUUUUGUGAUGUAAUUGAUAUAAAUGUAUGCUUUUUCAUGUAUAAGCAAGGAUGUUUGUUCUUUUGGGAAAGUGCCAAUUAAAUAUUUACCAAAGGAAA
Molecule: long non-coding RNA, 540 nt
Organism: Paramormyrops kingsleyae
Lineage: Eukaryota; Metazoa; Chordata; Actinopteri; Osteoglossiformes; Mormyridae
Source: RefSeq, a predicted model, not a curated record